Molecule: non-coding RNA, 369 nt
Organism: Equus caballus (horse)
Lineage: Eukaryota; Metazoa; Chordata; Mammalia; Perissodactyla; Equidae
Source: RefSeq, a predicted model, not a curated record
AGAUUCCUGAAUCAAGAUUUUCUGUCAUAGAUUGGUUGAAGGGAGGUAAGAAGGAGAGGAGAGGGGUACAAGGAGCUGAGAUGUUACUGAAGAGGAAGAUGGAGAAAGAGGGAAGGAUGAGCGAACCACGCCCUUCUUGUCCUGGGAGAGCAUCAGAGGCCUGCUGGGGACUGAUUGUAGGGUUGUGACAACGAUGCCAGCAUUCUUUGGAGAUGGCGGCGCCUCAUAAAGCUCUUAAAGAAGUGGAUUCAUAUAUCAGGGAGAAGGAAAGGGAAGAAGUCAGCAAUCACAGAAUCAAGAGAGCAACCCUGGGCACCAAGCCUUCAAAGUGAUGAUUAUCUUUCUAUAUUAAAGAUUUCAAAGAGUUCG